CCUACGGGAGGCAGCAGUGGGGAAUCUUGCGCAAUGGGCGAAAGCCUGACGCAGCCAUGCCGCGUGAAUGAUGAAGGUCUUAGGAUUGUAAAAUUCUUUCACCGGGGACGAUAAUGACGGUACCCGGAGAAGAAGCCCCGGCUAACUUCGUGCCAGCAGCCGCGGUAAUACGAAGGGGGCUAGCGUUGCUCGGAAUUACUGGGCGUAAAGGGAGCGUAGGCGGAUAGUUUAGUCAGAGGUGAAAGCCCAGGGCUCAACCUUGGAAUUGCCUUUGAUACUGGCUAUCUUGAGUAUGGGAGAGGUAUGCGGAACUCCGAGUGUAGAGGUGAAAUUCGUAGAUAUUCGGAAGAACACCAGUGGCGAAGGCGGCAUACUGGCCCAUUACUGACGCUGAGGCUCGAAAGCGUGGGGAGCAAACAGGAUUAGAUACCCUGGUAGUCCACGCUGUAAACGAUGAGUGCUAGUUGUCGGCAUGCAUGCAUGUCGGUGACGCAGCUAACGCAUUAAGCACUCCGCCUGGGGAGUCGGUCGCAGNUUAAAACUCAAAGGAAUUGACGG
Molecule: ribosomal RNA, 558 nt
Filed under: uncultured bacterium
Lineage: Bacteria
Description: bacterial SSU rRNA
Rfam family: Bacterial small subunit ribosomal RNA
Source: RNAcentral